Molecule: RNA transcript, 1518 nt
Organism: Quercus lobata
Lineage: Eukaryota; Viridiplantae; Streptophyta; Magnoliopsida; Fagales; Fagaceae
Gene name: serine/arginine-rich splicing factor RS31-like
Exons: 6
Source: RefSeq, a predicted model, not a curated record
UUUUUUGGAUAGUUGCGACGAUGAGGCCGAUUUUCGUGGGAAACUUUGAGUACGAUACUCGCCAAUCUGAACUGGAACGCUUGUUCGGAAAGUACGGGAAGAUUGAGCGCGUCGACAUGAAAUCUGGAACAUCUGCUAAUGGAAAAUGAGCUGAGCUUCUAUCUGGGCUCGCCAUCUGUGCAAAAUACUUAUUUUGGAAAGGAAACCAACUUGCUUGCCUGAUCUCCUUCCACCCCACUGAUAGCAUCAUCCUGCACUUUCUACACUCCGAUCAAUCCUUCACUCAUGACUCACCCACUUCAUCGCAUGCCAUUUCACAAGAAUUUACAUAGUGGAAUCAGUCAAUUUAUUAUGCCUUGCCUACCAACAAUGAUCAUAGGGGAUCAAUGAUAUCUGCAUGCCAUGCCAACAACUGAAUGUAGUGGGAUGAAUGAAUUCUGUCAUGCUAUGCCUUCCAUUACUGAAUUCGUGCUUUCUGAAUGGUGAAGCAUGCGCAGAGACAUCUCAGACCUGAAAUUUUGGAUUAGAACUUUUUACAUGCAACAAUCAUUAGUUCAUCAUGCAACACCUCUACGGCCUUAUGUUCAUCAGCCCCUCACUUAUAUGCAGGCUUUGCUUUCGUUUAUUUUGUGGAUGAGCGUGAUGCUGAAGAAGCUAUUCGUGCCGUUGAUAAUAGGCCGUUUGGUUAUGACAGGCGUAGGCUGUCAGUGGAGUGGGCAAGGGGUGAACGAGGUCGGCCUCGUGAUGGAUCUAGGUCAGGGGCAAACCAGAGGCCUACUAAAACCUUGUUUGUAAUUAACUUUGAUCCAAUACGCACAACUGUUCGCGAUAUAGAAAGACACUUUGAACAAUAUGGAAGGAUUCUUCAUGUCCGAAUUCGACGUAACUUUGCAUUUGUCCAGUUUGAAACUCAGGAGGAUGCUACCAGAGCCCUUGAGGCUACUCACAUGAGAAAGCUAUUAGACAGAGUGGUUUCGGUUGAGUAUGCUUUGAGGGAUGAUGAUGAUAGGGGUGACGGGAGUUACAAUAGCCCUAAAAGAGGAGGUUAUGGUGGGCGUGGGGUUAGUCCUUACCGAAGGUCACCAAGUCCAGUGUAUCGCAGGCGGCCAAGUCCUGACUAUGGUCGUCCUGGCAGCCCUGUUUAUGAUAGGUACAAUGGGCCAACAUAUGACAGGCACAGGGGUCCUGAUUAUGGUAGGAACAGGAGUCCUGAAUUUGGCCGAUACCGAAGCCGAUCACCUGUUAGAAGGUCAAGAACUUGAAAGAGAAACUCCUGGUUCUGGGGAAGGGGUGAAUAUGUAGCUUGGAGAUGUUACUACUAGUUUUAGGUAUUUUCUUUUGUAUGCACAUUGGAUAUUAGGGUUAGCAGUGAUCAUGGAGAAGUUUUUUUUUCCCCUUGAAUUAGUAAUCAUGGAAAAGUUAUUGGAUAUUACUUUUUAGGAUUGACUAUAUUUGUCAAAACUUUUUUGUUUCAAGACCUGAUGUUAUGUCUAAACGUGAUUUGCAUUUACGUUUCAA